AUUGAACGCUGGCGGCAGGCCUAACAAAUGCAAGUCGAGCGGAGCGGCGGACGGGUGAGUAAUGCCUAGGAAUCUGCCUGGUAGUUGGGGAUAACGUCCGGCAACGGGCGCUAAUACCUCAUACUAUCAUAUGGACCUAGGUCGGAUUAGCUAGUUGGUGGGGUAAGGGCCUACCAAGGCGACGAUCCGUAACUGGGCUGAGAGGAGGAUCAGUCACACUGGAACUGAGACACGGUCCAGACUCCUACGGGAGGCAGCAGUGGGGAAGAUUGGACAAUGGGCGAAAGCCUGAUCCAGCCAUGCCGCGUGUGUGAAGAAGGUCUUCGGAUUGUAAAGCACUUUAAGUUGGGAGGCGUUACCAACAGAAUAAGCACCGGCUAACUUCGUGCCAGCAGCCGCGGUAAUUC
RNAcentral lists this ribosomal RNA (407 nucleotides) under uncultured bacterium. RNAcentral's name for it is "partial 16S ribosomal RNA". It matches the Rfam family "Bacterial small subunit ribosomal RNA", at positions 30 to 526 of the family's 1533-position model. The record is from RNAcentral.